GGUGAUGCCAAGGCAUAGGCCUGCUGGCCAUGUGUGAUAUGUAUUUUCCUUUUCUCCCUCAUCUCUCUUCUUUCCCUCCUACCUAUUUCUUCCAUUGCUUGAUUCAGUAGAGUCCUUCAAGAGAAUAUACUGUGCAAAGAUAAUCCCCACAGCUUGAGAUGUAGCAUGGAAUAUGGAGAGUCUUUACAACUAAGGCUGCUCAGGAGAGAUUAGCCAUCUUCACACACUACAAGCUUGAGAAGGCAAAGGAGUAAGAUCUUGAUGUACUUAGGGUUAUGUGGAACCCUUUGUCAUGGGUUACGGAAACAGCUGCGAUUAUGGCCAUCACCCUCACUAAUGGAGGACCACAAUGGAAAGAAAAGAAGGGGAAAUGCAACAAA
Molecule: long non-coding RNA, 380 nt
Organism: Macadamia integrifolia
Lineage: Eukaryota; Viridiplantae; Streptophyta; Magnoliopsida; Proteales; Proteaceae
Exons: 3
Source: RefSeq, a predicted model, not a curated record